RNAcentral lists this ribosomal RNA (471 nucleotides) under Flavobacteriaceae bacterium enrichment culture clone PSHTC-041. Its description in RNAcentral is "bacterial SSU rRNA". It matches the Rfam family "Bacterial small subunit ribosomal RNA", at positions 53 to 521 of the family's 1533-position model. The record is from RNAcentral. Lineage: Bacteria; Pseudomonadati; Bacteroidota; Flavobacteriia; Flavobacteriales; Flavobacteriaceae.
CCAUGCAGUCGAGGGGUACAGGAGUGCUUGCACUCGCUGACGACCGGCGCACGGGUGCGUAACGCGUAUAGAACCUACCUUUUACUGAGGGAUAGCCUUUAGAAAUGAAGAUUAAUACCUCAUGGUAUUGCAAUUUGGCAUCAGAUUGUAAUUAAAGAUUUAUUGGUAAAAGAUGGCUAUGCGUCUUAUUAGCUAGAUGGUAAGGUAACGGCUUACCAUGGCAACGAUAAGUAGGGGCCCUGAGAGGGGGAUCCCCCACACUGGUACUGAGACACGGACCAGACUCCUACGGGAGGCAGCAGUGAGGAAUAUUGGGCAAUGGAGGCAACUCUGACCCAGCCAUGCCGCGUGCAGGAAGACUGCCCUAUGGGUUGUAAACUGCUUUUAUACAGGAAGAAACACACCUACGUGUAGGUGCUUGACGGUACUGUAAGAAUAAGCACCGGCUAACUCCGUGCCAGCCGCCCCGGG